AACGAACGCUGGCGGCAUGCCUAACACAUGCAAGUCGAACGAGACCUUCGGGUCUAGUGGCGCACGGGUGCGUAACGCGUGGGAACAUGCACUUAGGUUCGGAAUAACUCCCCGACAGGGGUGCUAAUACCGGAUAAUGUCUUCGGACCAAAGAUUUAUCGCCUUUGUAUGGGCCCGCGUUGGAUUAGCUAGUUGGUAGGGUAAAAGCCUACCAAGGCGACGAUCCAUAGCUGGUCUGAGAGGAUGAUCAGCCACACUGGGACUGAGACACGGCCCAGACUCCUACGGGAGGCAGCAGUGGGGAAUAGUGGACAAUGGGCGAAAGCCUGAUCCAGCUAUGCCGCGUGAGUGAUGAAGGCCUUAGGGUUGUAAAGCUCUUUUACCCGGGAUGAUAAUGACGGUACCGGGAGAAUAAGCCCCGGCUAACUCCGUG
Molecule: ribosomal RNA, 433 nt
Filed under: uncultured bacterium
Lineage: Bacteria
Description: partial 16S ribosomal RNA
Rfam family: Bacterial small subunit ribosomal RNA
Source: RNAcentral